Molecule: ribosomal RNA, 1617 nt
Filed under: Escherichia coli
Lineage: Bacteria; Pseudomonadati; Pseudomonadota; Gammaproteobacteria; Enterobacterales; Enterobacteriaceae
Description: partial 23S ribosomal RNA
Rfam family: Bacterial large subunit ribosomal RNA
Source: RNAcentral
AUAAUGGGUCAGCGACUUAUAUUCUGUAGCAAGGUUAACCGAAUAGGGGAGCCGAAGGGAAACCGAGUCUUAACUGGGCGUUAAGUUGCAGGGUAUAGACCCGAAACCCGGUGAUCUAGCCAUGGGCAGGUUGAAGGUUGGGUAACACUAACUGGAGGACCGAACCGACUAAUGUUGAAAAAUUAGCGGAUGACUUGUGGCUGGGGGUGAAAGGCCAAUCAAACCGGGAGAUAGCUGGUUCUCCCCGAAAGCUAUUUAGGUAGCGCCUCGUGAAUUCAUCUCCGGGGGUAGAGCACUGUUUCGGCAAGGGGGUCAUCCCGACUUACCAACCCGAUGCAAACUGCGAAUACCGGAGAAUGUUAUCACGGGAGACACACGGCGGGUGCUAACGUCCGUCGUGAAGAGGGAAACAACCCAGACCGCCAGCUAAGGUCCCAAAGUCAUGGUUAAGUGGGAAACGAUGUGGGAAGGCCCAGACAGCCAGGAUGUUGGCUUAGAAGCAGCCAUCAUUUAAAGAAAGCGUAAUAGCUCACUGGUCGAGUCGGCCUGCGCGGAAGAUGUAACGGGGCUAAACCAUGCACCGAAGCUGCGGCAGCGACACUAUGUGUUGUUGGGUAGGGGAGCGUUCUGUAAGCCUGUGAAGGUGUACUGUGAGGUAUGCUGGAGGUAUCAGAAGUGCGAAUGCUGACAUAAGUAACGAUAAAGCGGGUGAAAAGCCCGCUCGCCGGAAGACCAAGGGUUCCUGUCCAACGUUAAUCGGGGCAGGGUGAGUCGACCCCUAAGGCGAGGCCGAAAGGCGUAGUCGAUGGGAAACAGGUUAAUAUUCCUGUACUUGGUGUUACUGCGAAGGGGGGACGGAGAAGGCUAUGUUGGCCGGGCGACGGUUGUCCCGGUUUAAGCGUGUAGGCUGGUUUUCCAGGCAAAUCCGGAAAAUCAAGGCUGAGGCGUGAUGACGAGGCACUACGGUGCUGAAGCAACAAAUGCCCUGCUUCCAGGAAAAGCCUCUAAGCAUCAGGUAACAUCAAAUCGUACCCCAAACCGACACAGGUGGUCAGGUAGAGAAUACCAAGGCGCUUGAGAGAACUCGGGUGAAGGAACUAGGCAAAAUGGUGCCGUAACUUCGGGAGAAGGCACGCUGAUAUGUAGGUGAAGUCCCUCGCGGAUGGAGCUGAAAUCAGUCGAAGAUACCAGCUGGCUGCAACUGUUUAUUAAAAACACAGCACUGUGCAAACACGAAAGUGGACGUAUACGGUGUGACGCCUGCCCGGUGCCGGAAGGUUAAUUGAUGGGGUCAGCGCAAGCGAAGCUCUUGAUCGAAGCCCCGGUAAACGGCGGCCGUAACUAUAACGGUCCUAAGGUAGCGAAAUUCCUUGUCGGGUAAGUUCCGACCUGCACGAAUGGCGUAAUGAUGGCCAGGCUGUCUCCACCCGAGACUCAGUGAAAUUGAACUCGCUGUGAAGAUGCAGUGUACCCGCGGCAAGACGGAAAGACCCCGUGAACCUUUACUAUAGCUUGACACUGAACAUUGAGCCUUGAUGUGUAGGAUAGGUGGGAGGCUUUGAAGUGUGGACGCCAGUCUGCAUGGAGCCGACCUUGAAAUACCACCCUUUAAUGUUU